Xiphophorus couchianus (Monterrey platyfish) is the source of this 566-nucleotide long non-coding RNA. RefSeq lists it as uncharacterized. Lineage: Eukaryota; Metazoa; Chordata; Actinopteri; Cyprinodontiformes; Poeciliidae. The transcript is spliced from 3 exons. The record is from RefSeq and is a predicted model, not a curated record.
AAAAACUCCUGCUGUUUUUGAAACUUCACCAUCAUAACUCCUCUAUUAAUCCUUUAACUACAUUUUAAAAGUGCUGCUCUGAGAAGUAGCUCAGCCCGGUUCCAUCAGGUGUUUGCUAAUUCCUGCUGCUCAGUCUGAAGUAGCUGAGUGGAAGAGUCGGGGGGGGGGAGCUACUCUGAGGCGAAAACUGCAGCUCUGAGGAGAAGUUGUGUCCUCAAAGGUGGAGCUAGGUCCAGCCAGGCAUUUUGCACAGCUGAAUGGUUGCCAUGGAGAUUAGAAGAUUUCUAAAACACGCAUGAAAGAAUCAAUGCACUCCAGGCUGCGGUAGCUAAUGACGGCAGGCCCUAUAAAAGCUGGUAGAAUCAUAGUACCAGUGAAUGACUUGAACUGUCAAGAUGUUUGGCACAAAGAAAUCAACACUUAGUGUUCCCCAGUGAAAGCAGCGAGUUUUCACAGUGACUGAGGUGAUUGUGGUGACUGUGAUGAUCAUGGUUCUUCAUCUCCAUCAAAGAAAAACCUUGAAAUUCACCCGUCGCGACUGUCUGAGUAAUUCAAGAGCUGGGGAA